ACGCACGCUGGCGGCGUGCUUAACCCCUGCCAGUCGAACGGUGAAGCGCCUUCCUUUUUGGUGGGUGUGGAUGAGUGGCGAACGGGUGAGUAACACGUGAGUAACCUGCCCCCUUCUUCUGGAUAACCGCAUGAAAGUGUGGCUAAUACGGGAUAUUCUGGGUCUGUCGCAUGAUGGGUCUGGGAAAGAUAUUGUUUCGGUGGGGGAUGGGCUCGCGGCCUAUCAGCUUGUUGGUGGGGUGAUGGCCUACCAAGGCGGUGACGGGUAGCCGGCCUGAGAGGGUGGACGGUCACACUGGGACUGAGACACGGCCCAGACUCCUACGGGAGGCAGCAGUGGGGAAUAGUGCACAAUGGGCGCAAGCCUGAUGCAGCGACGCCGCGUGAGGGAUGGAGGCCUUCGGGUUGUGAACCUCUUUCGCCAGUGAAGCAGGCCUGCCUCGUUUGUGGGUGGGUUGACGGUAGCUGGAGAAGAAGCGCCGGCUAACUACGUG
RNAcentral lists this ribosomal RNA (493 nucleotides) under uncultured bacterium. RNAcentral's name for it is "partial 16S ribosomal RNA". It matches the Rfam family "Bacterial small subunit ribosomal RNA", at positions 29 to 507 of the family's 1533-position model. The record is from RNAcentral.